Molecule: ribosomal RNA, 484 nt
Filed under: uncultured bacterium
Lineage: Bacteria
Description: partial 16S ribosomal RNA
Rfam family: Bacterial small subunit ribosomal RNA
Source: RNAcentral
AUUGAACGCUGGCGGCAGGCCUAACACAUGCAAGUCGAGCGGAUGAAGGGAGCUUGCUCCUGGAUUCAGCGGCGGACGGGUGAGUAAUGCCUAGGAAUCUGCCUGGUAGUGGGGGAUAACGUCCGGAAACGGGCGCUAAUACCGCAUACGUCCUGAGGGAGAAAGUGGGGGAUCUUCGGACCUCACGCUAUCAGAUGAGCCUAGGUCGGAUUAGCUAGUUGGUGGGGUAAAGGCCUACCAAGGCGACGAUCCGUAACUGGUCUGAGAGGAUGAUCAGUCACACUGGAACUGAGACACGGUCCAGACUCCUACGGUAGGCAGCAGUGGGCAAUAGUGGACAAUGGGCGAAAGCCUGAUCCAGCCAUGCCGCGUGUGUGAAGAAGGUCUUCGGAUUGUAAAGCACUUUAAGUUGGGAGGAAGGGCAGUAAGUUAAUACCUUGCUGUUUUGACGUUACCAACAGAAUAAGCACCGGCUAACUUCGUG